Limulus polyphemus (Atlantic horseshoe crab) is the source of this 2514-nucleotide RNA transcript. It is a transcript of the gene named zinc finger CCCH domain-containing protein 13-like, with no coding region annotated. The transcript has 13 exons. The record is from RefSeq and is a predicted model, not a curated record. NCBI's taxonomy places the organism in Eukaryota, Metazoa, Arthropoda, Merostomata, Xiphosura, Limulidae.
CUGCUUAAACUGUUAAAGGAGUGGUUACGUAAGUUUUAUGCUUUCGACAGUUUCGUUAAGACUGACGUGAUUAUUUUUUGAGUAGUUUGAAUAAGCAACUAUAUACUCAGUAUAAAGCUAAGCUACUACUAUAAGUGAUUCAACAAGGUCUGACUGAAAGAAAAUGAAAACUAGGCCCAAAUCAUCUGGUGGAAUCCAUAGAAGACCUGUUUCUGCAGAAAAGAAAACUUCCAGAAAGGUGGCUUCAACAACACGCUUGAUAAAGCAAUCAAGAGGUGCUUUGAAAAGCAACAGACCUACAGAAAAUAGGCCUAGACCUUCUGGACCUAGAUCUAGGUCUCCUUUGAGAAGAAAACAUCCUGAUGCUUCUAGAUCUAGGCCAAGUCCAAAAAGAAGACGUUCAUUCAGUCCUCCUUAUUCUGGCUCAGCUGGUAAACUUUCAGGACCUCCUUUGGACAGAGCAGUAGGAGCUAGGCGUGAAAACAUUGUUGAAAGGCGUAGAGCCUCUCACUCACCUGUUGCCCAAAAAAGGGCAUCUAGUCAUCUCUCAGCACAACGCAGUGGAAAAGAUCUAGCACAUUCUUCAAGAGGAGACGUCUCCCGUGUUAAAGAUCGUAAUUUUAGGGGUGUGGAUGAAAAGCACAAUUUUGGACAUUUAGAUCAUCGUCGUGAAAGAGGAAAAAAUUUUCAAAGAAGAAGUAGUUCUUAUUCAAGGGAAUUAGAGCAAAGACAGAAAACUGUUCGUAGUUUCAGUGGAGAUCGGCGUGAGAUUGAAUCUCAUGGUACACGAGAUAUUGAUGAACGACAUGAUGUUUCAGCUUACCAUCAGAAAGACAUAUACUCUUCAGGGACAACUAGUCAACGCAAAGGGUUUGAUACAAAUCAAGGAUAUGGAAGAAUUGACUCAGCAGUUGGAAUUUACUCUAGAGAAAGUGGUGGUAUGGAUAGCAGGGGUUACCAUUCAACUGAGCAGAGGUCCUCCAACACUACAUUAAGUGAAAGAUUCCGUUCCAUAAAUAAUGAAACAAGUAGAAACUUGGAACCAAGAAUGGUUUACACACAAGAAGAUUUAGAGAAGAUUACUGUUGGAAUACACAGAAAUGUCAGAGAACCUUCUCCAACUGUUCGCUGUAUUGUAAAUCCAGAUGAAGUGAGAUUUGCACGUCGACCUGAAGAAGGAUCUCGGCCAAUUUUUGACCGUGAAGAAAUCAAAUUGGCUGCAGUGGAUUUGCGAGAUGAUGCUUAUUUUGAGAGAAGAGUUGUAGCUGUUGUAAAAUCUGAAGAAAAACAUGCAUCUUCACCAAAGAAGGAGAGACUUCCUUCUAAAGGAAACAUUUAUGAAAAGUCUAGACCAAACUACCAAACCUAUCGAUAUGGUAAUAAUGGAAAUAGUGUGCCUAUGCACAAUGAAAGAUGGCAAGAUCAUUCUGUGAGGAGGGGAGAUUCAUCAUUUAAUGUGGAUCGGCAACAUUUUAAUCAGGAUGUGUUGAGGGAGCGAGAAGGUACUCACUCGUAUGAUAGAGAACGGAGUGGAGACUAUUAUGGCAGCAGUGACUUGCGUCAGCCAAUAUCCAUGGAUCCUUUUGGUGGUAAUCAAGAUUCUGAAAGAAGAUUUCUUAGUGAACGUGAAUUGCAUAGAGGACGUGACAUUGGUGGUCCCAGGCCAGAGGACUUUGGUAGAAAUCAGGGACCACCACCUUUCUGUCAAGUCCCAACUGACUUGAGAUCCAAUAUUUCCGGAAGACGUAAAGAUAACAGCAGCACCACUGAUGCCAGACAGCGAAUUCUAGAACGUCGUGGAGAACAACUUGGUAAACGAGAAUCUCGUAGCAAGCAGCGGUCUUAUGAAUCAGAACGUAAAAAUUUAGACAUCAGUAGUGGCAGAUUCAGAGAAGAAAGAGGAGCCUUUGUAGGUAGCCGUGGUCCAAUGCAUAGUAGAUACCACAACAGGGAACGAUCUCCAAAAGACAAACUACCUAAUUUCUCACAACGACCUGACCGCUUCAAAGUACAGCCAUGGAUGGAAAAACCUGAUUCCACACCUAAAGAACCAAGUUACUUUGAGCAUGAUGACCGUGGGGAGUCUAGCAGAGGAAGGUUCCGAGGAGUUGGAAGAGGUUUUAGAAGUCUAGGGAUUAGAGGUCGUUUUUUUCGAGGUGGUUUUAGAGGCAGUUUGAGAGGGCGAGGUGGAUUCAGAGGAAGAAUUUUUAGAGGUCGAGGAUUUCUCUCCAAGAGUAGGAGGUAGAGGGUCCCCCAGCCACUGGGAACAUGAUAUGUUUCACAAAAUGUCACCAGAAGAAAAGAAUGCAUAAGAAGGCUGGAGAAAUUUCAACACAACCUGGUUGUUUAUACCUUAUUUGGCAAUAGUGUUUUGUCCAUGACUGUUUGAUAUUAGAUGUAAGCUAAAGUGUCUUUUAAUUUCAUGAUUUCAGAAACAUAUACAUAUUGCUGUCUUAUUUGUGAAACAGUAGGAAUGUACUACAUAGAAGUAGUAAUAAAAUACAUAAAAGUUUA